Molecule: ribosomal RNA, 253 nt
Filed under: uncultured bacterium
Lineage: Bacteria
Description: partial 16S ribosomal RNA
Rfam family: Bacterial small subunit ribosomal RNA
Source: RNAcentral
UACGUAGGGUGCGAGCGUUGUCCGGAAUUACUGGGCGUAAAGAGCUCGUAGGUGGUUUGUCGCGUUGUUCGUGAAAACUCACAGCUUAACUGUGGGCGUGCGGGCGAUACGGGCAGACUGGAGUACUGCAGGGGAGACUGGAAUUCCUGGUGUAGCGGUGGAAUGCGCAGAUAUCAGGAGGAACACCCGUGGCGAAAGCGGCUCUCUGGAACGGUACUGACGCUGAGACGCGAAAGCGUGGGGAGCGAACAGG